Molecule: unclassified non-coding RNA, 187 nt
Filed under: soil metagenome
Description: partial contains 5.8S ribosomal RNA, internal transcribed spacer 2, and large subunit ribosomal RNA
Source: RNAcentral
AACGCACGAGACCUGCGGACCUGCGGAAGGAUCAUUAACAAAUCCAAUAAUUGCUGGAGAACACUUGUUCUUUUUGCAAAUAUUAAUCCGCUGGCCUCUCUUAGAGCGGCUGGCUGUGAUAUAAAUGCGUGAUAUGUCGACAGUGUGUGUAUAAGUUAAUAUUGACAACUUUUAACAAUGGAUCUCU